AUGAGGGUCCUGCACCCAGCCCAUCGAUGGUCCAGCGUCGUCUGCUCCGCCGGCAUCAUCAUCUUCAUGAUCAUGCCCAUCGUCUCCUCCGGCAUCUUCCUCAUCAUCAUGUCCUGCAUCUUCUACAUGAUGACUGUGUACAGCAUCACCGUCAUGAUCAUCUCUUGGGGAUUCUUCGUCUUCUCGCCCGCCCGAGCCGCGGUGGUUGUCUUGCUGCCCUUCCUCAUUUCUUGCCCGGCCCCCAUGGACGACUUCGUAGUCAUCUUCAUCACCUUGCCACCGAUAGCCAUCCAUGAAACCAUGCAAGAGCAGGUGGUCCCGCACCUGCCCGGAUUCCGGGUCCGCAAUAAGACUCUUCAGCUUGCAUCUUCGACACGGACAUCUUAUCUCCGUCUCGUUCUUUUGAAGCAUCUCGGCCUUCGCAGACCUCAAAAACCUAUUCACGAUGCCUUCGGUCAUCAUGCGGACCAUGGUCGCCUGCGGGGUAGAGCAAAACGAUAUUUUAGAACCAAGAAAAAAAUUUGGAAUGACUUUCCCUAA
This 540-nucleotide ribosomal RNA is filed under the name Triticum aestivum (bread wheat). RNAcentral's name for it is "partial small subunit ribosomal RNA". Lineage: Eukaryota; Viridiplantae; Streptophyta; Magnoliopsida; Poales; Poaceae. The record is from RNAcentral.